This 292-nucleotide ribosomal RNA is filed under the name uncultured bacterium. RNAcentral describes it as "partial 16S ribosomal RNA". It matches the Rfam family "Bacterial small subunit ribosomal RNA", at positions 505 to 796 of the family's 1533-position model. The record is from RNAcentral.
GUGCCAGCAGCCGCGGUAAGACGGAGGGUGCAAGCGUUGCUCGGAAUCACUGGGCGUAAAGGGUGCGUAGGCGGUCUCGCAAGUCUGGCGUGAAAGCCCAAGGCUCAGCCUUGGAAGUGCGCUCGAAACUGCGAGGCUGGAGUGCCGGAGGGGAGAGUGGAAUUCCCGGUGUAGCGGUGAAAUGCGUAGAGAUCGGGAGGAAUACCGGUGGCGAAAGCGACUCUCUGGACGGCAACUGACGCUGAGGCACGAAAGCGUGGGGAGCAAACAGGAUUAGAUACCCGCGUAGUCC